UACGGGGGGGGCAAGCGUUGUUCGGAAUUACUGGGCGUAAAGGGCUCGUAGGCGGCCAACUAAGUCGUACGUGAAAUCCCUCGGCUUAACCGGGGAACUGCGUCUGAUACUGGAUGGCUUGAGUUCGGGAGAGGGAUGCGGAAUUCCAGGUGUAGCGGUGAAAUGCGUAGAUAUCUGGAGGAACACCGGUGGCGAAGGCGGCAUCCUGGACCGAUACUGACGCUGAGGAGCGAAAGCCAGGGGAGUAAACGGG
Molecule: ribosomal RNA, 253 nt
Filed under: uncultured bacterium
Lineage: Bacteria
Description: partial 16S ribosomal RNA
Rfam family: Bacterial small subunit ribosomal RNA
Source: RNAcentral